RNAcentral lists this long non-coding RNA (1472 nucleotides) under Nicotiana benthamiana. Its description in RNAcentral is "long non-coding RNA (NBEN_LNC032017)". The record is from RNAcentral. Lineage: Eukaryota; Viridiplantae; Streptophyta; Magnoliopsida; Solanales; Solanaceae.
AAGUUUUAUACUAAAAUGGUGGAAUUGCACGAUAGCUGAUCCCUAAAUACUCUCGGCGCACGAUAGCAAAGACUGCCAUUGUGCCCGGAAAUGGCUCGCCGCCGAAAGAAUGCGCCCGCCGAUGAUGUUCAGAUUGUUACCCCUGACCAUGGUGCUGCUAAAGCACGAGAACCGCUGACAUUUGGGAGUUUCCUUCCGUAGAAAUUCCAAGCCAUUGAGGAGAUUCAUGAAGCUGAAUGUGAUGAAGAUGCAAUGCAACUUCCGAUAAGCAAACCAGAUGGAAAUAUAUUCAAGCUGUGCGCCGACUUCAAUUUUCUGAGAUUAGUAAAUCGGAGGUGUCCUAUCCAACUGCAGGUGAGGUUGUGCAAGGAAAUCGUAGUGCUCUAUCCAACUGCUUAAGCGAGGACUAUUUGAAACCCCAGGUUGAGUACUGGAAAACCUCCUUAAUAGGGUAUGUUAUUGGAGAGGUUCCUUUUGAGAAAGCUAUGGACAAUUUUGUGUUGCAUGUGUGGAAUUUUGUCUCUAAACCUCAGAUUCUGAUUCAUUCUAAGGGUUACUGCUUUUUCCGGUUUAAUUCGAUUGCUGACAGAGACCAAGUUAUACAAUCAGGACCUUAUUCUUAUAGGAAAAAACCGCCGGUAUUGAGACCUUGGGAGAUUUAUUUUUCCUUCCAGAAUGACAUUUUAAGUACAAUUCCUGUAUGGAUUAGAUUUCCCGGGUUACCUGUGGGAUACUGGUCUACUGAUGUGUUGAGUAAGAUGGCUAGUGCUGUGGGUAAUCCUUUGUAUACAGACAAGUUCACAGCUCAUUAUGAAAAAAUUUCUUAUGCUCGAGUUCUAGUGGAGGUUGAUGCUGCUCAUCCUCUUCCUAAUCAGUUAGAGAUUGAAACUCCAUUUGGGCCUAAGAUUCAAUUGGUUGAAUAUGACUGAAAGCCUCUGUUCUGUAAUCAUUGCCUGAAAUUUUGUCAUGAUUCUAUUGAUUGUUGGUACAUGAUUGAAUAUGACUGGAAGCCUCUGUUGCCUGAAAUUUGGUCAUGAUUCUAUUGAUUGUUGGUAUAAUACUAACUCUGAGGUUGAGAGGGAACUAAACGAAAAGGGCAAGGCAAAGAGGCAGGAUCUCAUAGGGAAAAAGAAACAUAAAGCUGCUAAACAAGAAUGGCUUGUUAAGAAGACUUAAGUACCUAAUAAUCCGCAGGAGCUGAUGCCAGAGAAAGCUGAAUCUAGUAAGGAUGAUGAUGUAGUGGUGAUCAAUACCAACCAAAUGAUGCUUCCUCACCAAGAGACUCAACAAAUCCCUAUCAAUCAGGAAAGGAUUAUAGAUACUGACAUUGAACAACAUUGCAGGAUGAUUGAUGAAUGCAAUAAAGGGAAGGCAAUUGUUGAUGUUUUAGAUUCUGGUAUAAGAGGCCAACAGAUUGACCCGGGGCCUUCUCAAAACCAAAACUCCAUGUUACUAUGAUUAUAGUCACUUGG